RNAcentral lists this non-coding RNA (45 nucleotides) under Schistosoma curassoni. Lineage: Eukaryota; Metazoa; Platyhelminthes; Trematoda; Strigeidida; Schistosomatidae. The record is from RNAcentral.
AUCUAGCUGAUGAGUUUCAAAUAGAAUGAAGCAUACGUCCUGGAU